GCAUCUUCCGAUUGGAAUCACUCGGUUCAGUCAGUGAGUUAUCGACCAUUGUACAAACAAGUUUCCUGCUCACAGUGGAUAAUCGAUUUUAUUUUGGAAAGUGACAAAAGUGUUUUUUUAUAUCUUUAUAGUUGGAUUGAUAAAGAUUAGUAGGAACCUGCUUAGGCGUUGCAGUUUGGUAAUAGAAAGUCAUUGACAAAUAUAAAUUGAGCAUCUCGCACAAUAUACAAAUACGCACAAAUAACGCAGAAUCGGUGCCAAUCAGUCUUCAACAGAAGGAUUUGACUGACUUUGAAGACGGAUAAGUUCUUACAUCGCGAAAAUGGUCGACUUCUAUAUC
Manduca sexta (tobacco hornworm) is the source of this 340-nucleotide long non-coding RNA. RefSeq lists it as uncharacterized. The record is from RefSeq and is a predicted model, not a curated record. NCBI's taxonomy places the organism in Eukaryota, Metazoa, Arthropoda, Insecta, Lepidoptera, Sphingidae. The transcript is spliced from 2 exons.